This 384-nucleotide ribosomal RNA is filed under the name uncultured bacterium. RNAcentral describes it as "bacterial SSU rRNA". It matches the Rfam family "Bacterial small subunit ribosomal RNA", at positions 331 to 732 of the family's 1533-position model. The record is from RNAcentral.
CCAGACUCCUACGGGAGGCAGCAGUGGGGGAUAUUGCUCAAUGGGGGAAACCCUGAAGCAGCAACGCCGCGUGGAGGAUGAAGGUUUUCGGAUUGUAAACCCCUGUUGUCAGUGAAGAUAAUGACGGUAUCUAACGAAUAAGCACCGGCUAACUCCGUGCCAGCAGCCGCGGUAAUACGUAGGGAGCAAGCGUUACCCGGAAUCACUGGGCGUAAAGAGCGCGUAGGCGGGUUAGCAAGUCAGAUGUGAAAUCCUAUGGCUUAACCCUAGAACUGCAUUUGAAACUGUUGUUCUAGAGUAUGGGAGAGGUAGGUGGAAUUCUUGGUGUAGGGGUAAAAUCCGUAGAGAUCAAGAGGAAUACUCAUUGCGAAGGCGGCCUACUAG